UACGUAGGGUGCAAGCGUUGUCCGGAUUUAUUGGGCGUAAAGAGCUCGUAGGCGGUUUUGAAAGUCGGGUGUGAAACCUCCAGGCUCAACCUGGAGACGCCACUCGAUACUUCAAUGACUUGAGUUCGGUAGGGGUAAGCGGAAUUCCUGGUGUAGCGGUGAAAUGACGCAGAUAUCAGGAGGAACACCGACGGCGAAGGCAGCUUACUGGGCCGAUACUGACGCUGAGGAGCGAAAGCGUGGGGAGCGAACAGG
This 255-nucleotide ribosomal RNA is filed under the name uncultured bacterium. RNAcentral's name for it is "partial 16S ribosomal RNA". It matches the Rfam family "Bacterial small subunit ribosomal RNA", at positions 524 to 776 of the family's 1533-position model. The record is from RNAcentral.